This 617-nucleotide ribosomal RNA is filed under the name uncultured bacterium. RNAcentral describes it as "bacterial SSU rRNA". It matches the Rfam family "Bacterial small subunit ribosomal RNA", at positions 67 to 705 of the family's 1533-position model. The record is from RNAcentral.
CGCCCUCUUCGGAGGGAGUGGCAGACGGGUGAGUAACGCGUGGGAAUCUACCUAGUGGUGGAGGAUAACUUCGGGAAACCGGAGCUAAUACUCCAUAAGCCCUUCGGGGGAAAGUUUUUUCGCCAUUAGAUGAGCCCGCGUGAGAUUAGCUUGUUGGUGAGGUAAAGGCUCACCAAGGCGACGAUCUCUAGCUGUUCUGAGAGGAAGAUCAGCCACACUGGGACUGAGACACGGCCCAGACUCCUACGGGAGGCAGCAGUGGGGAAUAUUGCACAAUGGGGGCAACCCUGAUGCAGCCAUGCCGCGUGUGUGAAGAAGGCCUUCGGGUUGUAAAGCACUUUCAGUUGUGAGGAAAGGUUGGUGGUUAAUACCCAUCAGCUGUGACGUUAGCAACAGAAGAAGCACCGGCUAACUCCGUGCCAGCAGCCGCGGUAAUACGGAGGGUGCGAGCGUUAAUCGGAAUUACUGGGCGUAAAGCGCACGCAGGCGGUUAUAUAAGCUAGAUGUGAAAGCCCCGGGCUCAACCUGGGAAUAGCAUUUAGAACUGUAUGACUAGAGUCUUGGAGAGGGGGGUGGAAUUCCAGGUGUAGCGGUGAAAUGCGUAGAUAUCUGGAGGA